ACAAUGGCUAUUGCGCAUCCGUGUACGGCGGUUUCUGCUUCCUGAAGGCCAACGUGGCUGCGGCGUGUCCAACAGGCAACAUAUAUAACGCUGGCUGUGCCGGACGCAGCUGUGCCUGCUGUGUCCCAGAUGUAACCAAGUGCAUUGCGAAGCCUAAGUGUUACGCACUUGGAGGUUCUUGCGUGAAGCCUGCCGAUCCUUGCGCCAAGGCUCAUAGGAACCCUACUUUUUGCAGAGGAACCGGUUGUGCCUGCUGUUAUUAAGAACUGACGACGGCGAGGCGGAGGGCAGACUUAACCAUACACAUGGAAGGUCAAUUGAGCUGUUAACUCUUACCACGAAGACAUCCCUUAGAAAAUGAAAAGUAGAGUGUAUCAUUUAACUCUUUUUAGUACUGGUGUUCAAUUGUAUGUGAGGGAUGAUUAGGAAUUACUUAUUCCAUACGUAGGUUCAUCAGCAUUAUAAUGAGGCUCUCAUACAUUACCCUCCGGUUCAGCAAUGCAUUAAAUCCCACUUAAUCAAUGCAUAUUUUUAGUAAAAAUGCUGAAAAAAAUCUAAAUUUUCUAAAAAUUAAUUAUAUAUUUGUGUUAAUGUGUGUGAAAGGCAGAUCCUUGCCUAAAAAUUUGCACUGCACUGAAAAUUCCAGAAUUUAACAAUAGUGUGCUUAUUCAUUUAGGUAAUUCACAAAAUAGCUAGUACUAAAAUAAUUGUGUAUUUUCUGAAUUAUCCAUCCUUUACAUUUAUUUUGUGUAGUUAAAUUUCACUCUAAUUUUAAUUGGAAUUACAAAUUAUUUUCCAUACGGAAUCUAUCAAUAAUGAUCCUGUGGUUUGUGCACGAAGAUAUUAUGUGAUUAAAUAUCUGUUUGACAAACACGCAAGUUUCAUAGUCCUUUACCAUAUGCCGUUACAGGCUUUCUCCAUGUGAAUACUCGAUCUUCUACCAUAA
This is a non-coding RNA of Procambarus clarkii (red swamp crayfish), 946 nucleotides long. NCBI's taxonomy places the organism in Eukaryota, Metazoa, Arthropoda, Malacostraca, Decapoda, Cambaridae. The record is from RefSeq and is a predicted model, not a curated record.